This 496-nucleotide ribosomal RNA is filed under the name uncultured bacterium. Its description in RNAcentral is "partial 16S ribosomal RNA". It matches the Rfam family "Bacterial small subunit ribosomal RNA", at positions 30 to 523 of the family's 1533-position model. The record is from RNAcentral.
AUUGAACGCUGGCGGCAUGCUUUACACAUGCAAGUCGAACGGUAACAGGUUAAGCUGACGAGUGGCGAACGGGUGAGUAAUGCAUCGGAACGUGCCCGAUCGUGGGGGAUAACACUUCGAAAGAAGUGCUAAUACCGCAUACGUCCUACGGGAGAAAGCAGGGGAUCACUUGUGACCUUGCGCUAAUAGAUGAGCCUAAGUCGGAUUAGCUAGUUGGUGGGGUAAAGGCCUACCAAGGCGACGAUCUGUAGCGGGCCUGAGAGGAUGAUCCGCCACACUGGGACUGAGACACGGCCCAGACUCCUACGGGAGGCAGCAGUGGGGAAUAUUGGACAAUGGGGGGAACCCUGAUCCAGCCAUGCCGCGUGUGUGAAGAAGGCCUUAUGGUUGUAAAGCACUUUAAGCGAGGAGGAGGCUCUUUUGGUUAAUACCCAAGAUGAGUGGACGUUACUCGCAGAAUAAGCACCGGCUAACUCUGUGCCAGCCGCCGCUGUAA